RNAcentral lists this ribosomal RNA (201 nucleotides) under uncultured bacterium. RNAcentral's name for it is "partial 16S ribosomal RNA". It matches the Rfam family "Bacterial small subunit ribosomal RNA", at positions 328 to 539 of the family's 1533-position model. The record is from RNAcentral.
ACGCUCGACACCUACGGGAGGUAGCAGUUGGGAAUAUUGGACAAUGGAGGAAACUCUGAUCCAGUGACGCCGCGUGAAGGAAGAAGGUCUUCGGAUUGUAAACUUAUUUUGUCAGGGAAGAAACAAAUGACUGUACCUGAAGAAAAAGCACCGGCUAACUACGUGCCAGCAGCCGCGGUAAUCUGAGCGGGCUGGCAAGGC